Molecule: ribosomal RNA, 460 nt
Filed under: uncultured bacterium
Lineage: Bacteria
Description: partial 16S ribosomal RNA
Rfam family: Bacterial small subunit ribosomal RNA
Source: RNAcentral
CCUACGGGAGGCAGCAGUGAGGAAUAUUGGUCAAUGGACGAGAGUCUGAACCAGCCAAGUAGCGUGAAGGAUGACUGCCCUAUGGGUUGUAAACUUCUUUUAUAAAGGAAUAAAACGAGGCACGUGUGCCUUUUUGCAUGUACUUUAUGAAUAAGGAUCGGCUAACUCCGUGCCAGCAGCCGCGGUAAUACGGAGGAUCCGAGCGUUAUCCGGAUUUAUUGGGUUUAAAGGGAGCGUAGAUGGGUUGUUAAGUCAGUUGUGAAAGUUUGCGGCUCAACCGUAAAAUUGCAAUUGAUACUGGCAGUCUUGAGUACAGUUGAGGUAGGCGGAAUUCGUGGUGUAGCGGUGAAAUGCUUAGAUAUCACGAAGAACCCCGAUUGCGAAGGCAGCUUACUAAACUGUAACUGACGCUGAGGUUCGAAAGCGUGGGUAGCAAACAGGAUUAGAUACCCCAGUAGUC